Molecule: ribosomal RNA, 517 nt
Filed under: Mychommatus violaceus
Lineage: Eukaryota; Metazoa; Arthropoda; Insecta; Coleoptera; Buprestidae
Description: partial 16S ribosomal RNA
Rfam family: Archaeal large subunit ribosomal RNA (bases 381-517)
Source: RNAcentral
GUCUUUUUGUUUUAUUUUUAAAGUCUGAUCUGCCCAAUGAUAAAUUAAAUGGCCGCGAUAUUCUGAUCGUGCGAAGGUAGCAUAGUCAUUAGUUUUUUAAUUGAAAGCUGGAAUGAAGGAUUGGACGAGAAACUAUCUGUCUCUAUUUUAUUAUUUGAAUUUUAUUUUUGAGUUAAAAAGCUUAAAUAUUUUUAAGGGACGAGAAGACCCUAUAGAGUUUAAUAUUUUUAUUAUUACUUAAUUUAUGGGGAUUAUAUUUUAUUAAUUUGUUAAAUAUUUAGUUGGGGUGACGUAAAAAUUUAUAUAACUUUUUAUUUUUUUUAUAUUUAUUUAUAGGUUAUUGAUUUAAUUUUUUAGUUAAAAGAUUAAAUUACCUUAGGGAUAACAGCGUAAUUUUCUUUGAGAGUUCUUAUCGAAAAGGAAGAUUGCGACCUCGAUGUUGGAUUAAAGUUAAUAGUUGGUGUAGAAGCUAACUUAAUUAGUCUGUUCGACUAUUGAAUCUUUACAUGAUCUGAGU